RNAcentral lists this ribosomal RNA (612 nucleotides) under Papiliotrema laurentii. RNAcentral describes it as "eukaryotic LSU rRNA". It matches the Rfam family "Eukaryotic large subunit ribosomal RNA", at positions 115 to 664 of the family's 3401-position model. Lineage: Eukaryota; Fungi; Basidiomycota; Tremellomycetes; Tremellales; Rhynchogastremaceae. The record is from RNAcentral.
UGACAAUCUGGCGUGCUCAGUGCGUCCGAGUUGUAAUCUAUAGAGUCGUUUUCCGUGCCGGACUGUGUCCAAGUCCCUUGGAACAGGGUAUCAAAGAGGGUGAUAAUCCCGUACUUGACACAAUGACCGGUGCUCUGUGAUACGUCUUCUACGAGUCGAGUUGUUUGGGAAUGCAGCUCAAAAUGGGUGGUGAGUUCCAUCUAAAGCUAAAUAUUGGCGAGAGACCGAUAGCGAACAAGUACCGUGAGGGAAAGAUGAAAAGCACUUUGGAAAGAGAGUUAAACAGUACGUGAAAUUGUUAAAAGGGAAAACGAUUGAAGUCAGUCGUUGGACUGGAGAGGGCUCCAGGCCCGGGUUUCCUUGGCCCGGGUUGUUAUUUCCCCCCUUCCAAGUCCGGGGUCCAAACAAUUCAAGGUUUUGGUUUCCGGGUGGGAUAAAGGGGGCGGGUUUGGGAAAAGGGUGGGCACCCCUCGGGGUGGUGUUUAUUAAGCCCAAACUGUCGCAUACAUCGGGAUGAGACUGAGGAAUGCAGCUCGCCUUUAUGGCCGGGGUUCGCCCACGUUCGAGCUUAGGAUGUUGACAUAAUGGCUUUAAACGACCCGUCUUGAACGG